AGCCCGGCUCAGCUCGGCAGCCUUAGUGAGCGGGGCCGGUCGCCUCCUUCUUCCCUCCUUCUCUCCCAGCCACGGCUCGGGGCUCCUCCUCCUCCUUUCUCCUCCGGCUCCCUCCCUCCUCCCUCCAUCCGUCACCCCCCGGCCGCACUUUCCUUGCGCCGCUCCCGUUUGCACUUUCCAUUUCGCUCCUCCGGGGCAGCCCGGUAAAGCGGUCGGGCCGGGGCUAUGAGCCGUGCGGGGAGAGCAGCUGCUGCCGAGCCGUAGGGAGCCGUCCCCGGGCAGGGCCGGGGUGUCCCGCUACAGGCGGCGGCUCCCGGGCAGGGCUCUCGCUGCCGUCCCGUCUCGGGGCGGAGGGGCCCGCGAUGUGCGACAUGAUCGACUCUCAGUCCGCCGAGAAGAUCAGCAGGAUGAAAAAGUUGCGGAGAACUUUGUCGGAGAGCUUCAGUCGAAUAGCCUUGAAGAAAGAAGACAGCAGCUUUGAUGAGAUAUGUGUCACAAAGAUGUCUACACGGAACUGCCAGGGAAUGGAUUCAGUGAUCAAACCUCUGGAUACAAUUCCUGAGGAUAAGAAAGUCAGGGUCCAGAGGACACAGAGUAGCUUCGAUCCCUUUGAGAAACCAACUAAUCAAGUGAAGAGGGUUCAUUCAGAGAACAACGCUUGCAUUAACUUCAAAACUUCAUCUACAGGGAAAGAAUCACCCAAAGUCCGACGGCAUUCCAGUCCUAGCUCUCCUACAAGUCCCAAGUUUGGAAAAGCAGACUCAUAUGAAAAACUGGAAAAACUAGGGGAAGGGUCCUAUGCUACAGUAUACAAAGGGAAAAGCAAGGUUAAUGGAAAGCUGGUGGCACUGAAGGUGAUAAGAUUACAAGAAGAGGAAGGAACCCCGUUUACAGCUAUCAGGGAAGCUUCUCUUCUGAAAGGACUGAAACAUGCAAACAUUGUGCUGCUUCAUGACAUCAUUCAUACCAAGGAGACUUUAACACUCGUUUUCGAAUAUGUGCACACUGAUUUAUGUCAGUACAUGGACAAACACCCUGGAGGGCUUCAUCCAGAAAAUGUGAAGUUAUUUUUAUUUCAGUUGCUGCGAGGACUGUCUUACAUCCACCAGCGUUACAUUUUGCACAGGGACCUGAAACCACAGAAUCUUCUGAUCAGUGACACGGGGGAGUUAAAGCUGGCAGACUUUGGUCUUGCAAGAGCUAAAUCAGUUCCCAGCCAUACGUAUUCUAAUGAAGUGGUAACCCUAUGGUACAGACCUCCAGAUGUCCUUUUGGGAUCAACAGAAUAUUCAACCUGCCUUGACAUGUGGGGAGUGGGAUGUAUCUUUGUAGAAAUGAUUCAAGGGGUUGCUGCUUUUCCAGGAAUGAAAGACAUUCAAGAUCAACUUGAAAGGAUAUUUCUGGUACUUGGAACACCAAAUGAAGAUACGUGGCCCGGAGUGCACUCAUUACCACAUUUCAAACCAGAACGGUUUACGCAGUACAGCCCUAAAAACCUUAGACAAGCAUGGAAUAAGCUCAGCUAUGUGAAUCAUGCGGAAGAUCUAGCCUCCAAACUACUCCAGUGUUUCCCAAAGAACAGAUUGUCAGCACAGGCAGCCCUGAGCCAUGAGUAUUUCAGUGAUCUGCCCCCUCGGCUAUGGGAGUUAACUGAUAUGUCUUCUAUUUUUACUGUACCGAAUGUAAGAUUACAAGCAGAGACUGGAGAAAGCAUGAGAGUCUUUGGGAAAAACAAUAGUUAUGGAAAAGGUGUAUCAAACAGCAAACAUUGAAGAAUACCUGAGUUCAUAAUUGAUAAUGCAGACAGCUUUGAUACCCACUGGGGAUUUGAUACUCGAUCUUUUCGAUCACAGUUGUUCGGGGAUGGAACGGAUUAAAUUUACCAGUUUGGAGGAGGGAAACAAAAACCUAACGAGGAGUCCGACACCAGGAAGGAGCCAUGGCCUGUUUCCUUUCUUUCUCUAUCGUGGAUUUCAUUCAAAAGAAAACUGAAGCUGGCAAGACCCUGUUUUUCCCUGCAAUUUAUUUAAAACCUUGCACGCAUUUUGGAUACCUUGUGAUUUCAGAGAACUAUGUGAAGAUUAAGCUUUUGCUUACUGAUACAUGGCAUGUACUCUUUCAGUCUUUUGUGUUUGAUUUUGUUUGAUUUUCCACUGCAGCGCUGCAUCUUUGUAAGGAUUUUUAUGCUUUCACCAGCAAUGUCUUAAAUACAUUAAGACAACACAUUCGGUGUUCACACUUCUUCAGUAAUGACUGUACAAAAAAGCCAGCGGUGGCAUAAAGGACCGUGCUUUCUUUGAGAGUCGUGCACAUAUUGCAACCAAUGGGAAGACAAUUUCUGCCAGAGCAAGCCCGAUUUGGGCUGACAGUUACAGCACCUUGCCACUGUUCCUGAAGUGGUGUUGGGUUCUUUCUUUUCUCAUUGUACCCUCAGAUCAUUUAUAUCCAUUUUAAAAACAUGGCAAUAACCGCAUGUUUACUCCAGCACUCUGAAUUUGGUUACUCUGCUUAGGCUAUGUAGCAUGCCAGUUUUGGAAAUAGGCCUGUGAGAAAGAUGACGCAAAAAUGAGAUGCGCUCAGCUGACAGAUACACAACAAAUUCUUUAUGGUUUUAUUCCCUUUGUGAGUAUUUCUUUCUUUUGUGGGCCUUGGCUCACAUCUCCAUGUUUUUCCUCAUGCUGUUUACCUUUUGGAAUGUUUUCCUCAAAAGAAAACAGAGAUUCUGAAACUGUUCCAUUUAAUUCAAGGCAGAUACGAAGGUACAGAGAAAUUUUUGUUGAAUGAGCCAUUAAGUCUAACUGUGUUAUUUUGCUGCUUACAGAGCGAGAGUUCUCCUUAUCCCAGACGGUUUGCUGUUCCACACCAAAGCACUUUUCAAAUCAUUUUCUAUAGGUAUCCCGAUCUGAUUGGAAGGCACUACCAGACGAUGUGUCUUUAAAUCGCUUUUCUGAAUGAAUCAUUCAAAUGCAAACUUUGCAAGAAACAAAGCUGUGUGACUUUAGGCGAGGAAGCCCCUGCCACAUUGUGGCUGGGGAGAACAUUGUGUUGGGGGGUGGAUAAAACUGCCCUGAUCAUAUACAAUGCUUUGCAUUCAGAAAGAGCAGGGCACAGUGCGAAAACUGCUGUUGAGUUAUGCUCCUGCUCAGACUGUACCGCUUGCUCGGCAAUAUUAUUCUGCACAUAAGUUUGACAUCCCUUGCUUGCUGGAUGCAUUGAAUUACAUUUUUAAGAAGUGCGGUAACACUUGGGUUAGCUUUCACUGUUUAAAAGGAGGGGAGAAGGAUUUGUGCUACUGCCAUCUUAUUAAACUCCAGCAGUGUUUAAUAAGAAAAGAACACCCAAUAAGGCAAAUCCUUGAAUGCUCAAGUAGCUACGGAAGGCCUCUUAAUGAACUGGCGUAUGAGUCUACACUUUCAAAGAGUUGAACCGAGGAAAUAUUCUCAGUAUUUGCACAGCCAUUAAAACAGUUUCCCCCAAUGACAUCUCUCUUUCAGGAUCUGGUAAAAGCCAUCUGAAAGCCACUUUCAGUCACAAUCCUAUUUAGAAGUUACUACAGUUUUCCUCCUGUAUUUAGGAGGGGAAAACAAGUGACCACUGAACUUUUGACUUUAUCACACACUGAAACUGCCUUAGACGUGGUUUGUUUGGAUUUCAUGGGUUUUUUUUUUGUUUGUUUGUUGUUUUUGUUUUUGUAAGAGAAAAUCUUUUAUACGUUAUCUUUGCUACUGAAACGCUGUGCAGUUUGAUGAUUGAAAUUAGCUAUUUUUAGGAAAAAAAAUCAUGCUGCAAAAAAAAAAUAAUAAUAGUAAUCUGAUGAAUUUUUGAAAAUGUAAAAUUUCAAUUAGGAGUAUAAUAGUAGUUGCAUAGACACAUCUACUGGGCAGCUUCAAUUGGGAGGCACGCAGUUACACUGCCUGACUAAACAUCUGAAGGUUUAAUAUAGAGACUGAUUCCCUAACUGUACCCACUAGCCCAGCACAUCAUUGCUGUCCGUAGUGAAUCAUGUCAUGUUUACUUACGGUGUGUGUGUGUCUGUGUGUGUGUGUGUGUGUGUGUACACACAUGCAUGUAAGAUUAUCUUCUCUGCCCCAUUCCCACUUUUAAGCAACCACUGAAAUAAUUAGAGUUGUUGGUCCAAAAAUCUUCAGACUCAGUUGCCUAAAGCACACAAACAUCCGGGUUCCUCAACAGUAACUGGAUUUUCAGCAGUAGUGGGUCUGUCUUGGCCACUGAUCAGUUAAAGAAUGGCACGAAUCUCUUGAGCACCUCCUUUCUGGUUCUUCUGACUGCCCGUGCUGACACUGGUUUGCUGUCACCUGCAGAGGUCUUUCUCCCUGCACUAAGGGGAUCUGCUGCACUAGAUCAUGAAAUCUUCUGGGAAACCUAAAUUGGUUAUUUUACUUUAUUUUUCUUUAUUUUGAGAAACUGGGAAUACCUUUAUGCAGAGAAUGGACUGUACAGCCUUUUUCUCCCUUCUUGUCCUGUCCUGCAUCAGCAACCUGACAGCCCCCCUCAGUUAGGGUCCCCUGGCAGUUAUCCCACCUCUCCAGCAUCUUGCAGGUUUUCACCACAGCCCUUUUCAGGGCUGAUGAAUGGACUUUUUAAACCCCAUUGAUGUCCUUAAGGCAGAGUAAGGGAAUAUCAGUAGCACUAUCCUCUUUUAUUCUCAUCCUUCCCAAACCAGUUCCCUGCAGAAUAUUCAAAGGGACAAGAAAACAAUCAGCCCGGUCUUCCAGACAUGCUGCAGGUCUUGGGAGUGCAGUGUUUCAUGCCAUCAGCAGUCAAAAGUUAGUUUAAAUAGAUGGUAUUCUGUGGGGUGCAGUCCUUGACAAACUGUGGGACUUGCCUGGAGCUGGCAGCCAUCAACAGUGUAAUUCUUGUCUUCUUGCCUGAGCCCCAGCAGAUCCUUCCUGAUGAUACUGAGAGAAAGGAUGUGGCUCAGCUACAAGAGGGAUGAGCAGCCACAGGGCAAAAGCAGGCAGAUAAAAGUAGGAGAGCAUAUUCUGACUCUGUACAAUACCAGGUGAACAGGGAAGGGAAGGUGAUGAUAGAGAUGGCUUGUGUGAUACAGAGAUUCCUUACAAGUUCACAUUCACAGAACCCAACUUUAUUACAAGUGAAACACCUGGAGAUAGUUUGGUCCCACUUCAGCUGGGGUCAGCUCAGCUCCAGUCCAUACCCAGCAGGCACAGCUCCAAGCAGGUCACUCCAACACUCAACAUUACGCUGUUGUAUGACAUCCCUGAUCGUUGAGUCCUUCCAAUUCUCACUAUUGUUUUUAAACAGGAUCAUGUUUGAGGAUAAUGCCAGUAAAUGCAACACUGGGAAUUCAAUCUGCAGUAGACAGAGGCACCAAGGUUUCCAUUUUGUCUUUGUUGUGUGAUGACGGACUUCAGACUCCUGUGGAAGAGGGUAGGGAAAUAAAUUGCCUUUGGCUGGUGGGUGACAUUCACUCCUAUGUGCUCUGUGUCAGUGCACACAACUGAAUGUGUAGUCAGUGCUCCGGUACACUCACAUACAAAAUACUCGGCUGUGAAUAUAACUGGGUUUUGUAAUCUUUGUUAUACAAAACGUUUAGGCUGUACAGACUGGGGAGCAAAACACUGACACCCCAUAUAAGUAGAAUUACAUUGUAUUACUGAGCAUAACAAAACUCUCCCCUACCAGCAGUUAGGUGGAGUGACCGCAUGUUACUGCCUUGUGUUUUUCACAUCAGCAAAAAAGAAAUCUAAAAGUAAAGGAUGCACUACAAAUUCCCAUCCCCCAAAAUGCAUUUCAAUGGUGCUGCAUACAGAAUCCCAGCUUGCCAGCUUCCACGCGGGUUUUCGUAUGGUGCACUGAGAGGUGUUCUUUUUUUAACAAAUAAAAAGCGAGGGCUGGUACAUGAAAACAAUGUUAAUGUAAUUAAAUAUAUAUAUAUAUACAUAUAUAUAUACUUCAGAAGAACAGCAUAGUAAGCAGUACAGUAAAUAAAUGUUGCAUUAUUUGUUACACCUUGUAAUUUGUCUGUAUUAUGAAAGAUGUAAUGGUUUGUCAGCUGUAACUGUUGUUUUCUUGUAACAUCAUAUUGAAUAAAGUGUAGCAGAAUCUCUCUUCUCCUUUGUAUAUGUGGUGUAGACCUAAAUAAUGGAAUAAAGCCUUUCUUUUCUGUUUUGUUCUAUGGCAAA
Molecule: non-coding RNA, 6167 nt
Organism: Coturnix japonica (Japanese quail)
Lineage: Eukaryota; Metazoa; Chordata; Aves; Galliformes; Phasianidae
Source: RefSeq, a predicted model, not a curated record